AGUGAACGCUGGCGGUAGGCCUAACACAUGCAAGUCGAACGGCAGCACAGUAAGAGCUUGCUCUUACGGGUGGCGAGUGGCGGACGGGUGAGGAAUACAUCGGAAUCUACUUUUUCGUGGGGGAUAACGUAGGGAAACUUACGCUAAUACAGCAUACGACCUACGGGUGGAAGCAGUGGAGCUUCGGACCUUGCGCGAUUGUAUUAGCCGAUGUCGGAUUAGCUAGUUGGCGGGGUAAAGGCCCACCAAGGCGACGAUGCGUAGCUGGUCUGAGAGGAUGAUCAGCCACACUGGAACUGAGACACGGUCCAGACUCCUACGGGAGGCAGCAGUGGGGAAUAUUGGACAAUGGGCGAAAGCCUGAUCCAGCAAUGCCGCGUGAGUGAAGAAGGCCUUCGGAUUGUAAAGCCCUUUUAUUAGGGAAGAAAAGCUGUAGGUGAAUACCCGGCUGUUCUGACGGUACCCAAAGAAAAAGCACCGGCUAACUUCGUG
Molecule: ribosomal RNA, 492 nt
Filed under: uncultured bacterium
Lineage: Bacteria
Description: partial 16S ribosomal RNA
Rfam family: Bacterial small subunit ribosomal RNA
Source: RNAcentral